This 468-nucleotide ribosomal RNA is filed under the name uncultured bacterium. RNAcentral describes it as "partial 16S ribosomal RNA". It matches the Rfam family "Bacterial small subunit ribosomal RNA", at positions 28 to 507 of the family's 1533-position model. The record is from RNAcentral.
GACGAACGCUGGCGGCGUGCUUAACACAUGCAAGUCGGACGGAAAGGCCCUGCUUUUGUGGGGUGCUCGAGUGGCGAACGGGUGAGUAACACGUGAGUAACCUGCCCUUGACUUUGGGAUAACUUCAGGAAACUGGGGCUAAUACCGGAUAGGAGCUCCUGCUGCAUGGUGGGGGUUGGAAAGUUUCGGCGGUUGGGGAUGGACUCGCGGCUUAUCAGCUUGUUGGUGGGGUAGUGGCAUACCAAGGCUUUGACGGGUAGCCGGCCUGAGAGGGUGACCGGCCACAUUGGGACUGAGAUACGGCCCAGACUCCUACGGGAGGCAGCAGUGGGGAAUAUUGCACAAUGAGCGGAAGCCUGUUGCGGCAACGCCGCGUGCGGGAUGACGGCCUUCGGGUUGUAAAACGCUUUCGCCUGUGACGAAGCGGGAGUGACGGUAAUGGGUAAAGAAGCACCGGCUAACUACGUG